CCCGCACAAGCGGAGGAACAUGUGGUUUAAUUCGAUGAUACGCGAGGAACCUUACCUGGGCUCAAACGCCCGCGGGAAGUGGCCCGGAAACCGGGUCCGGCCAGCAAUGGCCGGCGGCGAGGUGCUGCAUGGUUGUCGUCAGCUCGUGCCGUGAGGUGUCGGGUUAAGUCCCAUAACGAGCGCAACCCCUACUGCUAGUUGCCAGCGCGUAAAGGCGGGGACUCUAGCGGAACUGCCGGCGUAAGCCGCGAGGAAGGUGGGGAUGACGUCAAAUCAGCACGGCCCUUACGUCCAGGGCUACACACGUGUUACAAUGGCCGGUACAGGAGGGCAGACCACCCCGCGGAGGGGGCGCGAAUCUCAAAAAACCCAUCAUAGUCCGGAUUGCAGUCUGCAACUCGACUGCAUGAAGUUGGAAUCGCUAGUAAUCCCCGGAUCAGCAUGCCGGGGUGAAUACGUUCCCGGGCCUU
This 470-nucleotide ribosomal RNA is filed under the name uncultured Rikenellaceae bacterium. Its description in RNAcentral is "bacterial SSU rRNA". It matches the Rfam family "Bacterial small subunit ribosomal RNA", at positions 920 to 1382 of the family's 1533-position model. Lineage: Bacteria; Pseudomonadati; Bacteroidota; Bacteroidia; Bacteroidales; Rikenellaceae. The record is from RNAcentral.